CAGAGACAGGUGCUGCAUGGCUGUCGUCAGCUCGUGUUGUGAAAUGUUGGGUUAAGUCCCGUAACGAGCGCAACCCUUGUCCUUAUUUGCCAGCGCGUAAUGGCGGGAACUCUAAGGAGACUGCCGGUGACAAACCGGAGGAAGGUGGGGACGACGUCAAGUCAUCAUGGCCCUUACGAGUAGGGCUACACACGUGCUACAAUGGUC
RNAcentral lists this ribosomal RNA (207 nucleotides) under Halomonas sp. Its description in RNAcentral is "partial 16S ribosomal RNA". It matches the Rfam family "Bacterial small subunit ribosomal RNA", at positions 1029 to 1235 of the family's 1533-position model. Lineage: Bacteria; Pseudomonadati; Pseudomonadota; Gammaproteobacteria; Oceanospirillales; Halomonadaceae. The record is from RNAcentral.